UAUUAUGGAAUUUUAUUUUUAGAUUGAAAGGAAAAUCGGCGCGUACUUCUGUGAUUGAUCUGCGAAAUCCAAUUUUUAAUUAGGUUGCUAGUUUCAAGCGGAACAUAUUCAUAUUCCACGAAGAUUGUUCGCGAAUUCUAAACGAUAUAGCAUUUGGAGAAUGUAUAAAGGUCAUUCGCCAAUUUUAAACGAUACAGCAUUUGGAAAUUGUAUAAAGGUCAUUCGCCAAUUUUAAACGAUACAGCAUUUGGAAAUUGUAUAAAGG
This 265-nucleotide long non-coding RNA is filed under the name Acromyrmex echinatior (Panamanian leafcutter ant). RNAcentral describes it as "uncharacterized LOC105144749, transcript variant X1". Lineage: Eukaryota; Metazoa; Arthropoda; Insecta; Hymenoptera; Formicidae. The record is from RNAcentral.